Molecule: long non-coding RNA, 336 nt
Filed under: Mustela putorius furo (domestic ferret)
Lineage: Eukaryota; Metazoa; Chordata; Mammalia; Carnivora; Mustelidae
Description: lncRNA (ENSMPUG00000028790.1)
Source: RNAcentral
GAGCCGAUGACCAAGAAAGAAUUCUUGAGACACCUUUGGUGCAAAAUGGUGGUUUAUUAAAGCACAGAGACAGGACCCGUGGGCAGGAAGAGUAGCUGCCCCGGUUGUGAGAGAUGGCAGGGGUACACUGAAAAAAACAUUUGCUAAACCCAACACAGCCUGGGACACUCCGAGGACCAUGGCCAAGGUAUCUAAGAUGGAGACAACGUUGGAAACAGCCACGUGGAGCCGGGGUUGGUGGAAGGAGAAUGCCUUGUUCAAUUCUUGGUAGCCUAUCGUCAUCUGCCAUGAGCCAUCUGGCUUUUUUAUUGGCUAUACCAGACUGCUGAAAGCACU